GGGAUUGCCCCAGUAACGGCGAGUGAAGCGGCAACAGCUCAAAUUUGAAAUCUGGCCCCUAGGGUCCGAGUUGUAAUUUGUAGAGGAUGCUUUUGGUGAGGUGCCGCCCGAGUUCCCUGGAACGGGACGCCGCAGAGGGUGAGAGCCCCGUCUGGCUGGCCACCGAGCCUCUGUAAAGCUCCUUCAACGAGUCGAGUAGUUUGGGAAUGCUGCUCAAAAUGGGAGGUAUAUGUCUUCUAAAGCUAAAUAUUGGCCAGAGACCGAUAGCGCACAAGUAGAGUGAUCGAAAGAUGAAAAGCACCUUGAAAAGAGGGUUAAACAGUACGUGAAAUUGUUGAAAGGGAAGCGCUUGUGACCAGACUUGGGCGCGGCGGAUCAUCCGGGGUUCUCCCCGGUGCACUUCGCCGCGUUCAGGCCAGCAUCAGUUCGGCGCGGGGGAAAAAGGCUUCGGGAACGUGGCUCCUCCGGGAGUGUUAUAGCCCGUUGCAUAAUACCCUGUGCUGGACUGAGGACCGCGCAUCUGCAAGGAUGCUGGCGUAAUGGUCACCAGCGACCCGUCUUGAAACACGGACCAAGGAGUCGUCUUCGUAUGCGAGUGUUCGGGUGUCAAACCCCUACGCGUAAUGAAAGUGAACGCAGGUGAGAGCUUCGGCGCAUCAUCGACCGAUCCUGAUGUUCUCGGAUGGAUUUGAGUAAGAGCAUACGGGGCCGGACCCGAAAGAAGGUGAACUAUGCCUGUAUAGGGUGAAGCCAGAGGAAACUCUGGUGGAGGCUCGCAGCGGUUCUGACGUGCAAAUCGAUCGUCAAAUAUGGGCAUGGGGGCGAAAGACUAAUCGAACCUUCUAGUA
Molecule: ribosomal RNA, 848 nt
Filed under: Paecilomyces variotii
Lineage: Eukaryota; Fungi; Ascomycota; Eurotiomycetes; Eurotiales; Thermoascaceae
Description: LSU rRNA
Rfam family: Eukaryotic large subunit ribosomal RNA
Source: RNAcentral